UUUAUUUGCUUAAACAGAAAACUCUUAGGGCAAUAAAUGGGAGAUUCAUAGGGUAACUGUUUCUUAGAUUUAACUAACGAAAACUAAAAAUCAUUUUUUAAAAAUUUUAUUUUCGGUUCUCAGUUUUUUCAACUAAAAAAUAAAAAGACGGUUUUUAUAUUAUGCUAGGAACUUCAUCCUAAAAAUUCUCAAAUAAACAUGACCCUAAGGUCAUGUACUAUAUAGUCUGUGGUAAUAAACACGUACAGUAAAAUUUCUAUUUUAAGAGUUAUGAUUAAGCUUUGUAGAAGAAGCCUCUUUCCAUUAAGAGUCAAAACUUUCACAUGUUGCAUGUGCAACCCUGAAACUGCUGUCCAAUUAAUGAAAACUAAAGCACUUUAUUAUUUUAUAUCUGUUUCCAUAAUAAAAUAUAUCAAAGUCGGUAAAAAAAUUAAAUACAAAAGCCAGGUAUUCUGAAUUGUCCAUGUGAUUAUAUAACAACAUGAUUUAAAUAAUCAUAAAGUAUUAAAUAUCAUUAUUAUCAAAUAUUAUUUUAGUCUUUAAAAAUCUGGUUACUUACCUUGUUGUUGUGGC
This 573-nucleotide long non-coding RNA is filed under the name Brassica rapa (field mustard). RNAcentral describes it as "long non-coding RNA (BRAP_LNC003847)". The record is from RNAcentral. Lineage: Eukaryota; Viridiplantae; Streptophyta; Magnoliopsida; Brassicales; Brassicaceae.